RNAcentral lists this unclassified non-coding RNA (391 nucleotides) under soil metagenome. Its description in RNAcentral is "partial contains 5.8S ribosomal RNA, internal transcribed spacer 2, and large subunit ribosomal RNA". The stretch from base 1 to 122 matches the Rfam family "5.8S ribosomal RNA", at positions 35 to 154 of the family's 154-position model. The record is from RNAcentral.
GAUGAAGAACGUAGCGAAAUGCGAUACUUGGUGUGAAUUGCAGAAUCCCGUGAACCAUCGAGUCUUUGAACGCAAGUUGCGCCCGAAGCCACUAGGCCGAGGGCACGCCUGCCUGGGCGUCACACGCCGUUGCCCCCCCAUCUACUCCUUCGGGAUUGCGGGGGGGCGGAUGAUGGCCUCCUGUGCGCCUAGCCGCGCGGUUGGCAUAAAUACCAAGUCCUCGGCGACGCACGCCAAGACAAUCGGUGGUUGCGAAACCUCGGUUGCCCGUCGUGUGCGUUCGUCGCGCAUCGAGGGCUCGAAAAAAUGCUCGGCUCCGGCUGGGCUUUCAACGCGACCCCAGGUCAGGCGGGGUUACCCGCUGAAUUUAAGCAUAUCAAUAAGCGGAGGA